GAUGAACGCUGGCGGCGUGCCUAACACAUGCAAGUCGAGCGGCAGCAUACCCUUCGGGGUGAUGGCGAGCGGCGGACGGCUGAGUAACACGUGGGAAUGUACCCCAAAGUGAGGGAUAACCUCGAGAAAUCGAGGCUAAUACCGCAUGUGCUCUUCGGAGUAAAGCUUUAUGCGCUUUGGGAACAGCCUGCGCCUGAUUAGAUUGUUGGUGAGGUAAUGGCUCACCAAGUCGACGAUCGGUAGCUGGUCUGAGAGGAUGAUCAGCCAGACUGGAACUGAGACACGGUCCAGACUCCUACGGGAGGCAGCAGUGAGGAAUCUUCCACAAUGGGCGAAAGCCUGAUGGAGCAACGCCGCGUGCAGGAUGAAGGCCUUCGGGUUGUAAACUGCUUUUCUUUGAGAAGAAUAUGACUGUAACAAAGGAAUAAGGAACGGCUAACUACGUGCCAGCAGCCGCGGUAA
This 462-nucleotide ribosomal RNA is filed under the name uncultured bacterium. Its description in RNAcentral is "partial 16S ribosomal RNA". It matches the Rfam family "Bacterial small subunit ribosomal RNA", at positions 28 to 523 of the family's 1533-position model. The record is from RNAcentral.